Molecule: ribosomal RNA, 543 nt
Filed under: uncultured Escherichia sp.
Lineage: Bacteria; Pseudomonadati; Pseudomonadota; Gammaproteobacteria; Enterobacterales; Enterobacteriaceae
Description: bacterial SSU rRNA
Rfam family: Bacterial small subunit ribosomal RNA
Source: RNAcentral
AUUGAACGCUGGCGGCAGGCCUAACACAUGCAAGUCGAACGGUAACAGGAAGCAGCUUGCUGUUUCGCUGACGAGUGGCGGACGGGUGAGUAAUGUCUGGGAAACUGCCUGAUGGAGGGGGAUAACUACUGGAAACGGUAGCUAAUACCGCAUAACGUCGCAAGACCAAAGAGGGGGACCUUCGGGCCUCUUGCCAUCGGAUGUGCCCAGAUGGGAUUAGCUUGUUGGUGGGGUAACGGCUCACCAAGGCGACGAUCCCUAGCUGGUCUGAGAGGAUGACCAGCCACACUGGAACUGAGACACGGUCCAGACUCCUACGGGAGGCAGCAGUGGGGAAUAUUGCACAAUGGGCGCAAGCCUGAUGCAGCCAUGCCGCGUGUAUGAAGAAGGCCUUCGGGUUGUAAAGUACUUUCAGCGGGGAGGAAGGGAGUAAAGUUAAUACCUUUACUCAUUGACGUUACCCGCAGAAGAAGCACCGGCUAACUCCGUGCCAGCAGCCGCGGUAAUACGGAGGGUGCAAGCGUUAAUCGGAAUUACUGGGCG